RNAcentral lists this ribosomal RNA (501 nucleotides) under uncultured bacterium. RNAcentral's name for it is "bacterial SSU rRNA". It matches the Rfam family "Bacterial small subunit ribosomal RNA", at positions 10 to 507 of the family's 1533-position model. The record is from RNAcentral.
AGUUUGAUCCUGGCUCAGAUUGAACGCUGGCGGCAUGCUUUACACAUGCAAGUCGAACGGUAACAGGCCUUCGGGUGCUGACGAGUGGCGAACGGGUGAGUAAUGCAUCGGAACGUGCCCAAUCGGUGGGGGAUAACGUAGCGAAAGUUACGCUAAUACCGCAUAAGCCCUGAGGGGGAAAGUGGGGGACCGCAAGGCCUCACGCGAAUGGAGCGGCCGAUGUCAGAUUAGCUAGUUGGUGGGGUAAAGGCCCACCAAGGCGACGAUCUGUAGCGGGUCUGAGAGGAUGAUCCGCCACACUGGGACUGAGACACGGCCCAGACUCCUACGGGAGGCAGCAGUGGGGAAUUUUGGACAAUGGGCGCAAGCCUGAUCCAGCCAUGCCGCGUGCGGGACGAAGGCCUUCGGGUUGUAAACCGCUUUCAGCCGGAAAGAAAUCGCCGUUUUUAAUACAGACGGUGGAUGACGGUACCGGAAGAAGAAGCACCGGCUAACUACGUG